Molecule: transfer RNA, 91 nt
Filed under: Apiosordaria backusii
Lineage: Eukaryota; Fungi; Ascomycota; Sordariomycetes; Sordariales; Lasiosphaeriaceae
Rfam family: tRNA
About the family: Transfer RNA (tRNA) molecules are approximately 80 nucleotides in length.
Source: Rfam by way of RNAcentral
GGUUGUGUAGUGUAGUGGUUAUCACUCUGGAUUUUGACUUACUCAGGUCAGCUUCCUUCCAGUAACCCCGGUUCGAACCCGGGCACGACCU